AGAGUUUGAUCCUGGCUCAGAUUGAACGCUGGCGGCAUGCCUUACACAUGCAAGUCGAACGGCAGCACGGGUGCUUGCACCUGGUGGCGAGUGGCGAACGGGUGAGUAGCACGUGAGCAACCUGCCCCGAAGACUGGGACAACACCGGGAAACCGGUGCUAAUACCGGAUAUCCCUAUCGGAUCGCAUGAUCCGCUAAGG
RNAcentral lists this ribosomal RNA (200 nucleotides) under uncultured bacterium. RNAcentral describes it as "partial 16S ribosomal RNA". It matches the Rfam family "Bacterial small subunit ribosomal RNA", at positions 8 to 202 of the family's 1533-position model. The record is from RNAcentral.